UCGAUCAUUAGUAGAUCAAUAGAGGGAGGCAUUAAACUAUGGCUCUUUCUCCUAAAAAUAUGGUCGACGGUCGUCAAAAAAAGCCUGAAUCAGUAGUCGACUACCAUCUCUCCGAGACUCCAGCAUAUAUUCUCCAACGAUCAAGAGAGAGGACCACUGGUUUACCUAAAUCCAACGGGUCCUACCACUCAACUUGUCUAUUUUUUAUUUUUUUAUUAUUAUUUAGGAUGGGAUGGUUGCUGGUAGGGAAGCUCACCAUCGGCAUGCCCUAGGUGACUGUCGGAUGCAGGCUGGAUGUCUUCAUCCAUGAAUUCUCCCCCCUCAUCGAAGAUGUCCUCAACCUCCAUGGCCACUUCAUUCUCCUCGAUCCGAAC
Molecule: long non-coding RNA, 374 nt
Filed under: Elaeis guineensis (African oil palm)
Lineage: Eukaryota; Viridiplantae; Streptophyta; Magnoliopsida; Arecales; Arecaceae
Description: long non-coding RNA (EGUI_LNC046106)
Source: RNAcentral